RNAcentral lists this ribosomal RNA (435 nucleotides) under uncultured bacterium. Its description in RNAcentral is "partial 16S ribosomal RNA". It matches the Rfam family "Bacterial small subunit ribosomal RNA", at positions 29 to 507 of the family's 1533-position model. The record is from RNAcentral.
AACGAACGCUGGCGGCAUGCCUAACACAUGCAAGUCGAACGAAUGCCUUCGGCUGUUGUGGGCUGACGGGGGCGUAAAGGGGGGAGUUCCGCGCUAGGAUCCGGAAUAUCAGCUUGAAAUGACUUCUAAUAACGGGGGAUAACUCGAGAUCAAAGAUCUAUCGGCUGGGGAUGGGCUCGCGUUGGAUUAGGGAGGUGGUGGGGUAAAGGCCUACCAAGCUGACGGUGCAUAGCUGGUCUGAGAGGAUGAUCAGCCACACUGGGACUGAGACACGGCCCAGAAUCCUACGGGAGGCAGCAGUGGGGAAUAUUGGACAAUGGGGGCAAGCCUGAUCCAGCAAUGCCGCGUGAGUGAUGAAGGCGCUAGGGUUGUAAAGCUCUUUUACCCGGGAAGAUAAUGACUGUACCGGGAGAAUAAGCCCCGGCUAACUCCGUG